Peromyscus maniculatus bairdii (prairie deer mouse) is the source of this 1121-nucleotide non-coding RNA. NCBI's taxonomy places the organism in Eukaryota, Metazoa, Chordata, Mammalia, Rodentia, Cricetidae. The record is from RefSeq and is a predicted model, not a curated record.
CUCUGUGCCCUUACUGAAAGCCAUCCAACAGAGAGACGACUUUCCAAGCCAGAAACAACUCUACAGACACGUGAACAAAACCUCAAUUUUGUAUACGAGGCACAGCCUAAGACCACCCAAGUUCCCUUGAUCCACGCAGCCCACCUCUGGACAGGAGAGACCCCUUCCAGCAUGCUGAAACUUCAGUCAACACAUCAACCUGGAUGCAAAUCUCCACCCAGCUCGGCAUUGCUGCUUUUACCCACGGAGGGCUCACAGCCCAGCAUGCAAAUAGUGGGUGCUCAAGCAUAAGAACCCCCCGAGGUAAAUGGGGAUCUCCAAGGAGUCUUCUUCAGCUUGGCAGAGUGAGGAGGCUGAACCCAACACCCCAAGUGGGAGGACAGAAGGGAGAAAGGUUGCACAAGGAAAGAAGAGAAAACACACCAGAGCCUCUGAUGGAAAUGAGAACCCUGAAGGUUCUUACACAAGAAGCGGAGACGCUCCGACCCUGACUCCAGUGACUGACUGGGGUGGUGGCAGUUCCCACCACAGAGAAGGGGUAUGCCCAAAAGGAAAGAAGCCUGACGUGGGGCCGGGGACGAGGAGCUGUGGACUCGGUACAGUUCCCGGCACAGAAGUGGGGCUCCACAUGACGGAGACAGCAGUGGCCGGGCCUGUUUGGGGGCCAGGGUAGCUUCCCUGGAAAUGAGACCACAAAAGUGGUUAGGAAGCAAGGGUGCAGGGAGGAAGCCACUGUCCACAAAAGAAACAGCAGUGGCCAGUAAAAUGUGUCCCCCACCGUGUGCAAUCAGGGAAGCAUCAAGAAUGGUCAAAGAACAGGGUGGCCAGAGGUCACAGGGAGACCUCAGGCACGUCUGAGGAACUGGACUUUUUUUUUUGGAAAGGCCUCACUGUGCAACUCUGGCUGGCCUGGAACUCACUGUGUAGACCAGCAGGCUGGCCUCUAACUCUUCUGCCUUCCAAGUGACAGGAUUAAAGGUAUGUGUCACCAUGCCACACCCAACAAGGUGACAAAAUUUCAAACAUGCCUUGCCUUUUACUGUGAUUACAGAAUCCCGUGAGUGUUCUUUGUAGACAUUUUAAAGAAGAAUAAACAAAAAUGGCUGUGUCCAUGUCACGUG